CUCUCCCGUCUUGUGAAUGCUGAUGACAUCCGUGAAUCCAGCAGGUCAUAUUCCACCAAAUAGGUAAAGCUGUGAUUCAGAGUACCAGGCAAGGAAUCAGUCACAGCCAAGAACAGAUGGAUCCCUAUUCAGCUUUCCAUCUCAAAACUGGCUUUUUGGGAGGCCACGACAAGACCAAUGCCCUGAAGGCUGAGUUUUCUUGAAAAAGAAAGGCCCCUCCCAUCUCCAAACCCAAAGUUCCUCUAUAAAUAUUUAUAAUCCAAGCUGGGAGGACUUACCCUAGAGAAGACUACUUCUUGCGACAGAGAAGACUCAACCUGUGACACAAGGGACAUUUCCACUGGAUAAGAAAGAAAGAAUUCUUGGCACUAGGGAUAUAAGAGAAAUUCAGAAGGGACCCAUCUUGAUCCAGGUUCACAUGAAUGCACGGCCUGUGGCAGGUGUUCAUCUAUGAUCACAGCUGGCAGAUGUGCAGGCAGGUUGGCCACCAGCUCAGAUGCAUGUGGCUCAAUCCUAUGGGACCACCCAAGGAGCUUGAUGAUAUGUGGAACCACAUCACCACCACCACAGGGAAGAAAGGGGUGGCGUUUACCCAUCAGCCUCCAUGAGUUAAGGGUUUCCCUAGGGGUAUUACCUCCCCUACAUUUCCAGGUUGCACAUGUGUGAGUGCUGAAUGGGGACACAUGGGAAUCCCAUGUCCCAGCAUCAGAGGUUCCAAGGCAGGAAUCAGGAGGCUGCAGGGAGGUACUGACAGGUUUCACCUGUGCAGUACUGGUCACUGCUGCAGCAAUGUCUAAAAGAAGAGUUGAGUACACAGGCAGUGCCCAAUAUAGGACCCAGUGAAGUUCUUAUAAUAGAGAAAGCAAAUAUUUUAAUCAGAUGUUCUACCUUUCAUUACAAUGUGAUUGUGACGGUCAAUAUUGAGAGUCAACUUGAUUGGAUUGAAAGAUGCAAAGUAUUGUUCCUGGGUGUGUCUAUGAGGGUGUUGCCAAAGGAGAUGAACAUUUUUGUCAGUGGACUGGGAAAGGCAGACACACCCCCUAUCUGGGUGGGCACAAUCUAAUCAGCUGCCAGCAUGGCCAGAAUAAAAAGCAGGUGGAAGAACAUGGAAAGACUAAACUGGCUGAGUCUUCUGGCCUCCAUCUUUCUCCCAUGCUGGAUGCUUCCUGCCCUCAAGCAUCAGACUCCAAGUCCUUCAGCUUCUAGUCUCUUGGACCAUCGACCACAGAUUGAAGGCUGCACUGUCGGCUUCCCUACUUUCGAGGUUUUGGGACUUGGACUGGCUUCCUUACUCCUCAGUUGGCAGAUGGCCUAUUGUGGGACCUCAUUUUGUGAUCAUGUGAGUCAAUACUCUUUAAUAAACUCCCCAUUAUAUACACAUCUAUCCUAUUA
This 1392-nucleotide long non-coding RNA is filed under the name Homo sapiens (human). Its description in RNAcentral is "HSALNT0258629". The record is from RNAcentral. Lineage: Eukaryota; Metazoa; Chordata; Mammalia; Primates; Hominidae.